Molecule: long non-coding RNA, 1804 nt
Organism: Bos indicus x Bos taurus (hybrid cattle)
Lineage: Eukaryota; Metazoa; Chordata; Mammalia; Artiodactyla; Bovidae
Source: Ensembl
GAAGCUCUUUUGACAGUGCAGGGCUACUGAAGUGGGGCCCUCUGGCACUCCUAAAAUCUGACCCAAGUCACAAACCCUCUCCUGUAGAGACUCAUGUGGGCACAUCCUCACCCCAUUUGUUUUCAGUUCAAGGGAGAUCAUGGGACCCCUGAUGCGCACUUGAGACCCACCCUAGUUAAAAAGUCCUACUUCCAUCUCUUUCAACCCUUCCAGGCGCUGGGGGUCCCAGGCCGAGUCAACAGCUCCGGCUACAUUGUGGUGAACUCCACGGCCAUGGACGCUCAGGUGCUGGUCACCGUGGAUGCCAGCACGCUACGGGGGCUGCUUGUCCUCAGUACCACCGAGACCCAGCAGGAGGUGAACUUGCUGCUCACACACAACCUGCCUCAGCCCAACCCCUUGGCCCUCCCAGCCCAGAUCCUGCUGUACCUGACCAACGAGAGGCUCGGGCCCAGCUACAGACACACCCUGCGGGUCGGAGUGGAUGGCAAAGAGGUCUCUGCGGACGUUGACAGCAGCGGCGCUGGCUUUGAGAAUUCAGGACGCGUCUCGUCGGGGUCCACGUCUCUGAACUACUCCGUGAGCUGCCAUCACCGAGAUGGGCGCCUGGAGUUCUCUGGUUGGAGCGAGCACAACAGCUGGGCCCUGCGGCAGGCGGGGUUCCCUGGAGAGGCCCGCCUGGGCGCCGAGCUGCAGAUGCAGAGUAAGGCGGCUGGACCCUGCCCGGGAGUGGGAGUCGGCCCCCCUACACUGACACCUGCCCGCCAGCCUCAGGCCCGGCGUGACCCUGAGUUCCAGGACUAACCAGGAUGCCCUUGGCCUUGGAACCUGACUCUUAAAGGAGUGGGUAUUCACUUCCCGGGGUGGCCAAGGGAACGUACCAUAAAACGGGUGGCUUAAAACAACAGAAAUUUAUUCUCCCAACUUCUAAAGGCUGGAAGUCAGAAAUAAGGUGUGGUCAGGGCCAUGCUCCCUCCAGAGUCUUUAGGAUUCAACCCUUACUGGCCUCUGCCAGCUCCUGGUAGCCCCAGGCAUUCUUGCACUUACGGCUGUAUAAUCCUGGUUUCUGCCCUCGAGUCUGCCUUUCUUUCUGUAAGGAUGCUAGCCAUUGGAUUAUGGCCCAUCCCAACCCGGCACCUCACCUUGGCUUGCUUCGUGUUUAGUCGUUAAGUUGUGUCCGACUCUUGCGACCCCGUGGACUGUAUCCCACCAGGCUCUGUCCAUGGGAUUCUUCAGGCAAGAUGACUAGAAUGGGUUGCUACUUUCUUCACCAGGGGAUCUUCCCGACCCAGGGACUGAAUCCGGGUCUCCUGCAUUGCAGGUGGAUUCUUUACCAACUGAGCCACCAAUCCUAUUUCCAAAUAAGGGCACAUCCACACGUCCUGGGAGUUAGGACUUCAAACAUAAUUUUUAAGGGGAAAUAGUUUAACCCAUACUGGAGGAAGAAGGGAAGGUAACAGUAAUAAGAGUCAGUGUUUUUGUUAUUGUUUGGUUUGGUUUUUUUUUAAUGAGGAAUUUUAUUUUUAUUUGUUUAUUUGGCCACACUGGGUCUUAGCUGUGACACCUGGGAUCUUUAGUCGCAGCAUGCGAGCUCUUAGUUGCGGCAGGUGGGAUCUAGUUCCCUGACCAGGGAUCAAACCCAGGCUCCCCACAUUGGGACUUGUGGAGUCUUAGCCCCUGGGCCACCAGAGAAGUCCCAAGAGCUGGCGUUGAUUGAGUGACUGUGUGUAUGUAAUCACUGAGGCAAGCUCUCAGUACAUAGCUCAGUGAGUCUGCUCGACAACCCCGUUCACACCAAGGGAAG